Molecule: long non-coding RNA, 374 nt
Organism: Lepidothrix coronata (blue-crowned manakin)
Lineage: Eukaryota; Metazoa; Chordata; Aves; Passeriformes; Pipridae
Exons: 3
Source: RefSeq, a predicted model, not a curated record
CAGUGAGAUGCCUUUCCCUGCCAGCCCAAGAAACAUUCGAGGUGGACUUACAGAUCUGUUUUUUUGGGAGAUACCUGGUUUACAUCAUGUGCUUUUUAUGGAAAAAGGGAUUUUUUUAUAAAACAACCAACCACCCUUUAAAGAUUUCCUUCCAAGCUGUGUUAUCCUUGGCUUCCAUGGGAUAUCCCUCAUGCUACUUCCCAGCAAUGGAAUGACAUGAAGACUGUUUUUGAGGGAGGCAAAUUUACACAUGGAUUGUCCCGGAACCCAAUAUCUCACCUCUCUGCACAGCAGAGGAAAAAAAUCACACAAAAGAUCCCCAAAAAAAGCCCUACCAAACAGUGAGAAAGAUGGAAACUGGUCCCAGACUGCAG